UCAGUGAACACGUAGUCAACAUGCCCAGAGGACGUGGAUAACCUCGGGAAACUGAGGAUAAACCGCGAUAGGUCAUAAUUACUGGAAUGUGUUAUGGCCCAAAUCUAUAUGGCCUCUGGAUUGGACUGCGGCCGAUCAGGCUGUUGGUGAGGUAAUGGCCCACCAAACCUUUUACCGGUACGGGCUCUGAGAGGAGGAGCCCGGAGAUGGGCACUGAGACAAGGGCCCAGGCCCUAUGGGGCGCAGCAGGCGCGAAACCUCUGCAAUAGGCGAAAGCCUGACAGGGUUUACUCUGAGUGAUUCCCGCUAAGGGAAUCUUUUGGCACCUUUAAAAAUGGUGCAAGAAUAAGGGGUGGGCAAAGUCUGGUGCCAGC
Molecule: ribosomal RNA, 374 nt
Filed under: unidentified archaeon
Lineage: Archaea
Description: bacterial SSU rRNA
Rfam family: Archaeal small subunit ribosomal RNA
Source: RNAcentral